RNAcentral lists this long non-coding RNA (4631 nucleotides) under Panax ginseng (ginseng). Its description in RNAcentral is "long non-coding RNA (PGIN_LNC018323)". Lineage: Eukaryota; Viridiplantae; Streptophyta; Magnoliopsida; Apiales; Araliaceae. The record is from RNAcentral.
AGACAUACAGACAACAGAUGACACACUAAAUCUAAUCAUUCAUUUUAGACCUCAAGCUUCAGAUUACAAAAUUAUCUCCAGUCCAUGGAUAAGGAGCACAUCUUUUUCCUGUACCUUCCAAUAUUCAUAGCUCUGUAUGUGCUUACUCAACAUGCACUUCACAAGUUCCAAAACUUUCCACCAACCCCUUUUCCCAGUCUCCCUUUAAUCGGUCACCUGUACCUUCUGAAGAAACCUCUCAAACAAACACUAUCAAAACUUUCACACAAAUAUGGUCCGGUAUUCUUCCUUUGGUUUGGCUCCCGCCGUGUCCUCAUCAUUUCUUCAGCGUCAGCUGCCGAAGAAUGUUUUACCAAAAAUGACAUCAUCUUCGCCAACCGCCCCCAUCUCCUCGUCGGAAAAUACCUCGGCUACAACAACACCAGCAUUGUUUGGGGGUCCUACGGUGAUCACUGGCGAAACCUCCGUCGUAUUUCCUCCAUAGAAGUUUUUUCAUCUCAUCGCUUACAGAAGCUAUCUUAUAUUCGUGUUGAUGAGGUUAAAACACUUGUCCACCAUUUUUAUCGAGCUUAUGUUGAGAAAAGUCAUCAGCCAUUGCUAAUAAAGCCAUUGUUCUAUGACCUUAUGUUCAAUGUCAUGACUAGGAUGAUUGCUAGAAAGAGGUAUUAUGGUGAGAAUACAUCGCAGUCAGCGGAGGCGAUGAGGUUUCAGGAGAUAGUGACUGAGACGGCUAAGUUGACCGGAGAGUCGAAUUUGGUAGAUUUUAUGCCAAUUUUAAAGCGGUUCAUGUUUAGUGGAAUUGUUAAGAGGUACGUGGCCGUAAAUAAGAAGAGAGAUGAGCUUGUGCAAAAGUGGAUAGAUGAAUUUCGCGAGAUGGGAUCCAAUGAGUCUGCAGGAAGGAGGGAGAAAUCUAUGAUUGAGAUCCUAUUGUCUCUGCACGAAGCAGAACCUGAAUACUAUACAGAUGAAGAUAUUAAAAGCCUCAUGCUGGUAAGGAGUGUGUAUGUUUUUUUAUACAAUGAAUACACCUGUACCCCUUUCACUUCCAAAUCAUUUUUAAAUCCCGAACAAAUUUUGUGUCAAACAAAGUUCUAAUCGAAUCAAAUCCACAUCCAAACAACCUCCCCACGACCUCUUUAGAGAGUUAAAUCCAAGUCUGGAACAAAUUAAAUCCAUCUAAACAAGGCAUAACAACUAGUCUAAUAGUAUCUUUUUAGGUUCUUAACUCAUCAUAUACGGUAAUGAAUAAAGAUAUAUAUUAUUGUUAGUAACUUAAUUCUUUUUCUCAUAUUUUUUAUGUGAAAAUGGGGUGUUAUAAUAUAAAUCUGAAAAUUGAACAGAAAAUUAUAUUUUCAUAUGAAAAUCGCGGCGACACUUUUUAUGUGAAAAUAUUAAAAAGUAUUGUGAAAAUAUCAAUUUCUCAUAAAUCUUUGUUGAACAAACCUGCUUCCACCGUGAAUGAUGCAGUUGUAGCACAAUAACAAGAUUUCCCAUCUUUAAUUUUUUUUCUUAUAAUUGUCCCCUAAUUCUUAGACAACAAUACGUUAUCUAUAUUUAAGAAGAGCUUAUUGAUUUGUCAUCACUAUAUAGAGUUAUGCAAUAUCAUGCAACAAUCUUGGAAUUAGAAUCCUUUUCAUUUCAAAUGAAAUGAAAAGUCUCUAUUUUAUGAUCUAAAUUUAAUUUAAAAUGUGUUUGGUACUAGAUAAUGAAACGCAAUGUAAUUUAAGUGCAAAUAUAUGGAUUAUUUGUGAAUUUAUCUACUCAUAACAAAAGUCGCAACUUUUUGUUACAAUAUAUAUAUAUACUAUCCGGAUUUUAAAUUCACCCCUUAUCUAGCUCACCUUGCAUACUCCCUUUUAGCGACGGAACAGACGAUGAUUUGGUCCGUCAUUAUAUAUAGAAUCGUCGUCUUAACUUUUAGCGACGGAUAAUAUAAAGUGACGGACCGAAUCAUCGUCCGAUCCGUCGCUAAAGGAGAAUAUGCAAGAUGAGCUAAAUAAGGGGUGAGUUUAAGAUUCGAACCGUAUAUAUAUAUAUAUAUAUAUAUAUAUAUAUAUAUAUAUAUAUAUAUAUUACAAGAUGUAUUUUGUCAGUAUAUAUAUCUUUGUAUUCUGCUUUUUCUUCUCCCUUAUCCUCUGGCCCAUAGCCUGCCACUUUUGACCUUUAGAACCGUCGUUAUAUAUAGAACCGUUAGACAACAUAUAGCGACGGAUCAAAUCGUCGUCCGAUCCGUCGUUAAAAAGGAAUAUGCAAGAUGAACUAGAUAAAAGGUGAGUUUAAAAUUCAAACCGUGUGUAUGUAUAUAUAUAUAUAUAUAUAUAUCUUUUACAAGAUGUAUUUUGUCGGUGUAUAUAUCUUUCUGUCCUGCUUUUUCUUCUUCCCUUUUCCUCUGGCCCAUAGCCUGCCACUUUUGACCUUUAGCUCCUUAUAUAGCUUAAUUUACAAGGAUUGAUGGUAUGCAUAAUAUGCACACUUUUCACACUAAGAAUUCUGCUGGAUAACUUUAGUGGUGUUAUUAAUUCUAAAUUCUUAUAAAUACGUAAGCAGUUUGAGGCCAAACCAUAAUAAGUAAUUAAAAUGAUGAGUGUACUAUUUGUAUUGUAUGCAGUCAAUACUACAGGGAGGAGUGAGUACAUCAGUUGACACAAUGGAGUGGGCAAUGUCACUUUUGCUCAACAGCCCACAAGUGUUGAACAAGGCCCAAAAUGAAAUCGACGGUCGUGUUGGACAAUCCCGUCUAAUCAACGAAACAGAUGUGGCCGAGCUUCCUUAUUUACGUUGCAUUAUCAAUGAGACGCUUCGGAUGCACCCAGUAGCCCCAUUCCUCGUCCCCCACGAGUCAUCCGAAGAAUGCACUAUUGCCGGUUUUCGCAUUCCCCGAGAAACUAUGCUGCUAGUGAACUUGAAUGACAUACAAAAUGACCCAAAAAUUUGGGCAGAUCCUGAAGCAUUUAGGCCUGAGAGGUUUGAAGGAGCUAAAGCUGGGUUUACGUGGAUGCCUUUCGGGUCUGGUAGGAGAGGGUGUCCUGGUGAGGGAUUGGCAAUACGGAUAGUUGGGUUGACAUUAGGAUCAUUGAUUCAGUGCUUUGAUUGGGCUCGUGUUGGCAAGGACAUGGUGGACAUGACCGAAAGGAGUGGCCUCACUGCGCCCAAGGCUCAGCCCUUGAUGGCUGUGUGCCGGCCUCGUGCAUCCAUGCUCAACUUUCUUUCUCAAAUUACACAAGUUUAAUGUAUCCUGUCCAAAUUUGUUAUUGCCGAAACCAAACACCCAAACGAAAAAAAAUAAUAAACGACCCAAAAGUAUUUCACUUUCUGUUAGAUUGACGCAAGCAAUCAAUAAUCACCUCCGUUAAAAAAGAAAAAAGGAAAAAAAUAAUAAAGAAAAUAGGUCACACUUGUUAUUUUGUUUAAUUGUAUAAAUUUAUUAAUAAAAUGAUACAAUCUACUUAAGGUUAUCAUUAUUCUUUUUGUUAUUAUAAUGUACUUGUAUUAAAUCAAUAAUUUAUUAAUCCCUCUUUCCCUAAAACUAAAAGGACUGUUGAAGUGAUAAAAAUAUUUGUCUUAAAAAACAUAUCAUGUCAACUAGAUAAAAUUUUACAUUUAUUAAUUUUUUUCCUUGACCAUAUUACAUCUUAUAUAAGCCAUAAAUCAAUUACAUUCCAAAAUAAAUGUCUCAAAUUAAUUAACGAGUAUUACCACUACACCAAAGCUUAUAUCAUGAUUAUAAUUUUAAAACAAACUAUAAAAGGAAACAUAUGUGAGUUGACUUACUAAACAAAAUUACUUCCACAUAAGAUUUGGUGAUUGCAAUGGCAGUUACAAAUACUCUAUAAUAAUGAUAAAAUUAGUCAUCACUAAGAGUCAUUAUAUAUUUUAUUGUUUUGUGAUAGCUUGAAAAUUACAUCACAAAAUAUAUUUUUUUUGUAAUUGCAAAUAAAAGUUGUCACAAAGCUUAAUUAAUUAUUGCAACAUUUUUAAUGGAUUUCAAAGAAAGUGGGCGAGAGGGGAGGGGGUAUAUUGUUUCGCUAGUGUUUACUUUUUAAAUUUGCCAAAGUUUCUUCUUUAUCAUCUUUUUCGUUUACUCUGGAUCUUAGAAUUCUACUUCUUAUUCAGGAUUGAAGUCUUAAAAUCAAUAUAUACUUGGCAAAUUCAUCUACAAUCCAUGGAUAUGGAGCACAUCUUUUUCCUGUACCUUCCAACAUUCAUAGCCCUGUAUGUGUUAACUCAGCAUGUCGUUGACAAGCUCCAAAACUUUCCACCCACCCCUUUUCCCAGUUUACCUUUAAUCGGUCACCUUUACCUUCUAAAGAAACCUCUCCAACAAACACUAUCAAAACUUUCAGAAAAAUAUGGUCCUGUAUUCUUCCUCCGGUUAGGCUCCCGCCCUGUUCUCCUCGUUUCCUCCGCAUCAGCUGCCGAAGAAUGUUUUACCAAAAAUGAUAUCAUCUUCGCCAACCGCCCCCAUCUCCUCAUCGGAAAACACCUCGGCUACAACAACACCAGCAUAGUUUGGGGGCCCUAUGGUGAUCACUGGCGGAACCUUCGUCGUAUUUCCUCUGUAGAAGUUCUGUCAUCUUAUCGCUUACAGAAGCUAUCUCAGAUUCGUGUUGAUGAGGUUAAAGCACUUGUCC